AUUGAACGCUGGCGGCAUGCCUUACACAUGCAAGUCGAACGGCAGCACGGGAGCUUGCUCCUGGUGGCGAGUGGCGAACGGGUGAGUAAUACAUCGGAACGUACCCAGGAGUGGGGGAUAACGUAGCGAAAGUUACGCUAAUACCGCAUAUUCUGUGAGCAGGAAAGCGGGGGAUCGCAAGACCUCGCGCUCUUGGAGCGGCCGAUGUCGGAUUAGCUAGUUGGUGAGGUAAAAGCUCACCAAGGCGACGAUCCGUAGCAGGUCUGAGAGGAUGAUCUGACAAACUGGGACUGAGACACGGCCCAGACUCCUACGGGAGGCAGCAGUGGGGAAUUUUGGACAAUGGGGGCAACCCUGAUCCAGCCACGCCGCGUGAGUGAAGAAGGCCUUCGGGUUGUAAAGCUCUUUCGGCGGGGAAGAAAUGGCAACGGCUAAUAUCCGUUGUUGAUGACGGUACCCGCAUAAGAAGCACCGGCUAACUACGUGCCAGCCGCCGCCGUAA
RNAcentral lists this ribosomal RNA (502 nucleotides) under uncultured bacterium. RNAcentral describes it as "partial 16S ribosomal RNA". It matches the Rfam family "Bacterial small subunit ribosomal RNA", at positions 30 to 523 of the family's 1533-position model. The record is from RNAcentral.